This 61-nucleotide transfer RNA is filed under the name human gut metagenome. It matches the Rfam family "tRNA", at positions 8 to 63 of the family's 71-position model. From Rfam's summary of the family: Transfer RNA (tRNA) molecules are approximately 80 nucleotides in length. Their secondary structure includes four short double-helical elements and three loops (D, anti-codon, and T loops). RNAcentral also lists the same sequence under 2 other names. The record is from RNAcentral.
CCUUAGCUCAGUUGGUAGAGCAAUUGACUCUUAAUCAAUGGGUCCAGGGUUCGAAUCCCUG